Molecule: unclassified non-coding RNA, 228 nt
Filed under: uncultured fungus
Lineage: Eukaryota; Fungi
Description: sequence contains ITS1, 5.8S rRNA gene
Rfam family: 5.8S ribosomal RNA (bases 180-228)
Source: RNAcentral
UUUCCGUAGGUGAACCUGCGGAGGGAUCAUUACUGAGUGAGGGCCUUCGGGCUCGACCUCCAACCUUUUGUGAACCACCUCGUUGCUUCGGGGGCGACCCUGCCGUUCGCGGCGUGGGGCCCCCGGAGCCCUUCAAACCCUGCGAAACUGAGUCGUCGGAGUUUAAACAAAUUAAACAAAACUUUCAACAACGGAUCUCUUGGUUCGGGCAUCGAUGAAGAACGCAGC